Molecule: ribosomal RNA, 254 nt
Filed under: uncultured bacterium
Lineage: Bacteria
Description: partial 16S ribosomal RNA
Rfam family: Bacterial small subunit ribosomal RNA
Source: RNAcentral
CACGUAGGGCGCAAGCGUUGUCCGGAAUUAUUGGGCGUAAAGAGCUCGUAGGCGGUCUGUUGCGUCCGCUGUGAAAACCCGGGGCUUAACCCUGGGCUGGCAGUGGAUACGGACAGACUAGAGGUAGGUAGGGGAGAAUGGAAUUCCCGGUGUAGCGGUGAAAUGCGUAGAUAUCAAGAGGAACACCUGAGGUGAAGACGGGUUGCUGGGCCGACACUGACGCUGAGUGCGCGAAAGCCAGGGGAGCAAACGGG